AAUCAGAAAUCGUUUGAUUCUCGGGAGAGGAAGACCCUUCCACAUUUGGUCUUAACUCGGAGUGUGAGGGUGUGGUUCUCGUAGGCCAUUACUUUGGGUGUAUGUUGCAGGCUGUGUAGUGCAGGCACAGCGGAGUCUUAAUCCCCAUCGUUGGCAGGCUGGAUCCAGGCAGCACAGGCCAGGUAAAGCCACCACAUCUGCCCUCAUCUCACCAGGCACGACUGUUCCAAAGAACUGGACGAGCUGGGCUCGUACUUCAUCCUUGAACUCAGAGUUCGUGACUUGUGAUUCAUCGUAGCAAUCUUGUGGCUCUCAGCCCUCAUCAUUUCGUCCGCGAAUCUGGACUGGCAUUUCGUCGAGAGUUCGCUCGCUUUACUUCGCGUCGUCGAAGCCACCGCAGUUCGCUCUUAGACGACUAUAUUCAUCGGACCAACGAUAGUCAUUGACGAUGUCGAAGGGGUCCUUAUUCUGAACUAUUUAAAUUAUAACCAGAUUAGAUAUACUACGGUCCAGUGUAGGUAUUCAUCCAAGUAUAAACCCUCUUUUGAUGAAACUUAAUU
RNAcentral lists this long non-coding RNA (560 nucleotides) under Lytechinus variegatus (green sea urchin). Its description in RNAcentral is "uncharacterized LOC121417167". Lineage: Eukaryota; Metazoa; Echinodermata; Echinoidea; Temnopleuroida; Toxopneustidae. The record is from RNAcentral.